RNAcentral lists this long non-coding RNA (501 nucleotides) under Eucalyptus grandis. RNAcentral describes it as "long non-coding RNA (EGRA_LNC005286)". Lineage: Eukaryota; Viridiplantae; Streptophyta; Magnoliopsida; Myrtales; Myrtaceae. The record is from RNAcentral.
UUGACUCUCACGUGAGUGAUCCUUGUAGCACUAUCAUCCUCAAUGAUGGCAAAGAAAUUGACUUUGCUUUGCUCUAAAAUGAAAUGCUGUGUAUGCGGUUGGUAAGACACUUAAAGUCAAUGUGAAGGCAUAUCUUGGGAAUCAAAAUUUGAGUGGUUUACCAGCUUUGGGCAGGAGGUGCUGCAAGCAGUGGCAGUUGUUCUGAUGGAAGGCGAGUUCCAGAAGAAUGGAUCCUAAAAGCUGGUUAUCAGUUAGGAAUUGAAAGAAUAAGCACCCUUCAAAUAUCAAAAGCUGCAUCAGCUGAAGGAAACAUCCAAACUGGUCCAGAUUCUUCGUCUCUCAAUCUCUCUCAGUUUGUGUGUGUGUGUGAUGAACAUCAUCUUUAUCUCUUGAGGUCGGAUUAUUUUGCUGUCUCCUGCAAAUAUUUCUAAAUAAAGUUGGUACUUUCUCAAUCGCCCGUUUCCCUACUGUAAAUGCUGCUUUGCAAGAAAGCAUUUGGCU